UAGGGUGGCAACGAGACAGGCGACCCAACGUAGUAGAAGGGAUCCGAGGAAGCAUAAUGAGUGUCCAAGCGUUUGAGAGCCUUCAUCUGUGGGUUUCUUUGGUGCUUCACUGCAAGGGCAUCACGGAGAUAACUAUCAGCAGUGGGGAAAAGAAGUGCAAUGUACUCACCACAUCGGACGACAAGUGUUGCUGCUGCAAAGAGUUGAUUGAUGAGAAGAAGGCAAACAAGAGCAUGGAGUUCUUUCCUAAGAUCCAUGAGAACUUUGCCCUACUUCGGCUGUUGAACCCAAGCUCUCUCCUCCUUGGCGAUGAUGCGCGCUAUGCUCAUGAGACAUCAGAGUGAGAGCGGGGUAAUUAUAGCCAGCUUCAAUAUAUGGCAGUGUCGUGGCCAUGAGAGAUGAGGAGGGGGGGGGGGGAGCAGAGGAGGCCGGCAAUAAAGUGGAGCACCGAGCUUUAGCGGCGUUGCUUUUGCCUCCACCCGCCUUCUGGAGGGAGAUAAAGAAAUGCCGAGUCUCGGAAAGGAUGGGAUGGUGGACUUGUUUUAUGUGCUGCUGAUGCGGCAGUAAGGAUUGGUUAUGUUGGUGCGGGCAACCUCCUCCUCCUCCUUUCUCCAUGCUCAGUUUUGGUAUAUGUUCUUGCUUGUCGCUGGAGCAAAUCAAAGGACAACUCCCGUGGCCUUUCUCUGUUGCUUCCGUCCUACUCAAUGGAACUCUUAUCUUAUUAUACGGAUUGGAAACCAACCAAAUGAUUCAGCGUACUCGGAGCACAUGAUAAGGGAUCAAUCCACUGUUAGUGAUGGUGUGUUUGAGCUCCAGUGUACAUAAUCUAGAGGUAUGUGAUCCCUGUUUGCUCAUCAAAUUCGAGGGUCAGUCUCGCAAUGCUGAGACAGAAUGUGAUAAAGCCUACUCUAUUGCUUAGCUUGUGAUAAGGCUGAAACGAUACAGGAAAAGGGUAGAGAGAAAUUUGUGUCGCUCACAUCAUAAGACAUAGCUAUGAAAGUGAAAACUGCAUUUGCUGCCACCCAACAGGUCAUUGAGACCCAAAGCUAUGAGGAUAUUUCAGGGAAAAAUGAGGCAAAAUGUAGUUUUGUUUACUUGUCUUUCUUUGGUAGAGCAGAUGAACUCUGUCAAUCUUCAAUA
Molecule: non-coding RNA, 1140 nt
Organism: Musa acuminata subsp. malaccensis (wild Malaysian banana)
Lineage: Eukaryota; Viridiplantae; Streptophyta; Magnoliopsida; Zingiberales; Musaceae
Source: RefSeq, a predicted model, not a curated record